This 348-nucleotide ribosomal RNA is filed under the name uncultured fungus. RNAcentral's name for it is "SSU rRNA". It matches the Rfam family "Eukaryotic small subunit ribosomal RNA", at positions 20 to 370 of the family's 1831-position model. Lineage: Eukaryota; Fungi. The record is from RNAcentral.
GUAGUCAUAUGCUUGUCUCAAAGAUUAAGCCAUGCAUGUCUGAGUAUAAGCACUCUUGUACCGCGAAACUGCGAAUGGCUCAUUAAAUCAGUUAUCGUUUAUUUGAUAGUACCCUACUACAUGGAUACCUGUGGUAAUUCUAGAGCUAAUACAUGCGCCAAGCCCCGACUUCGGAAGGGGUGUAUUUAUUAGAUAAAAAACCAAUGCCCCUCGGGGCUCCUUGGUGAUUCAUAAUAACUUCACGAAUCGCAUGGCCUUGCGCCGGCGAUGGUUCAUUCAAAUUUCUGCCCUAUCAACUUUCGAUGGUAGGAUAGUGGCCUACCAUGGUGGCAACGGGUAACGGGGAAU